Molecule: transfer RNA, 76 nt
Filed under: Rossellomorea aquimaris
Lineage: Bacteria; Bacillati; Bacillota; Bacilli; Caryophanales; Bacillaceae
Description: Bacillus aquimaris tRNA-Thr
Rfam family: tRNA
About the family: Transfer RNA (tRNA) molecules are approximately 80 nucleotides in length.
Source: RNAcentral
GCCGGUGUAGCUCAACUGGUAGAGCAACUGACUUGUAAUCAGUAGGUUGGGGGUUCAAUUCCUCUUGCCGGCACCA